This is a non-coding RNA of Arabis alpina (gray rockcress), 86 nucleotides long. NCBI's taxonomy places the organism in Eukaryota, Viridiplantae, Streptophyta, Magnoliopsida, Brassicales, Brassicaceae. The record is from Rfam.
CCGACCUUAGCUCAGUUGGUAGAGCGGAGGACUGUAGUUGAAGCAGAAAAAUCUUUCGGUCAUUGGUUUGAAUCCAGUAGGUCGGA